UACAGAGGGGGCAAGCGUUAUUCGGAAUUAUUGGGCGUAAAGGGCGCGUAGGCGGCCUGGCAAGUGGAAGGUGAAAUCCCUCGGCUUAACCGAGGAACUGCCCUCCAAACUGCUUGGCUUGAGUCCGGGAGAGGUGAGUGGAAUUCCCAGUGUAGCGGUGAAAUGCGCAGAUAUCGGGAGGAACACCUAUGGCGAAGGCAGCUCGCUGGGACGUUACUGACGCUGAGACGCGAAAGCGUGGGGAGCAAACAGG
This 253-nucleotide ribosomal RNA is filed under the name uncultured bacterium. RNAcentral describes it as "partial 16S ribosomal RNA". It matches the Rfam family "Bacterial small subunit ribosomal RNA", at positions 524 to 776 of the family's 1533-position model. The record is from RNAcentral.